Choloepus didactylus (southern two-toed sloth) is the source of this 135-nucleotide small nucleolar RNA. RefSeq annotates it as small nucleolar RNA SNORA70. The record is from RefSeq and is a predicted model, not a curated record. The transcript has a single exon. NCBI's taxonomy places the organism in Eukaryota, Metazoa, Chordata, Mammalia, Pilosa, Megalonychidae.
CUGCAGCCUAUUAAACAGACUGUCCCCCUCUCCCCACGGGAGCCCAGUGUGCAGUGGCUGCAGACAGCUGUCUCCUUGGUAGUAUAUGCAGCCUGUUGCUUAUAUGGGCUGCCCUAAGGGACCUCAGAGAGAGCC